Molecule: transfer RNA, 71 nt
Filed under: Lodderomyces elongisporus
Lineage: Eukaryota; Fungi; Ascomycota; Pichiomycetes; Serinales; Debaryomycetaceae
Also listed under: 1 other name
Description: tRNA-Asn
Rfam family: tRNA
About the family: Transfer RNA (tRNA) molecules are approximately 80 nucleotides in length. Their secondary structure includes four short double-helical elements and three loops (D, anti-codon, and T loops).
Source: RNAcentral
GUUCUAGUAGCUCAAGGGUAGAGCACUGCACUGUUAAUGCAUUGACACUAGUUCGAGUCUAGUCUAGAACG